UGAGAACUGGUUUUCGUGGACU
Molecule: microRNA, 22 nt
Filed under: Anolis carolinensis (green anole)
Lineage: Eukaryota; Metazoa; Chordata; Lepidosauria; Squamata; Anolidae
Description: aca-miR-146b-5p
Gene: aca-miR-146b-5p
Source: miRBase by way of RNAcentral